Molecule: RNA transcript, 2040 nt
Organism: Lycium ferocissimum
Lineage: Eukaryota; Viridiplantae; Streptophyta; Magnoliopsida; Solanales; Solanaceae
Gene name: tonoplast dicarboxylate transporter
Exons: 7
Source: RefSeq, a predicted model, not a curated record
CAUCUUAUAAACUUCUCAAGCACCACAACACCACACCAUCUCUCUUCUCUCUAAUUUUUCUUUUUUGCCCCUCUUCCAAAAUGAAUAGAGAUGAGACUAAUAACAAUGACCAAAAAACACCACUUCUCCCAGUUCAUAGGUCACAAAGCAUGAAUUCAAUUAUUCGAUCUACUUUUUCACUAAAAAAUUUAUUCACCCUUUUAGGACCUUUACUAUGUGCAAUUAUUUGCUUAUUUGUGAAAAUGGAUAAUGCUCCAACUACUAGUACAAAUAUGUUGGGAGUUCUUGCAUGGAUAUUUACAUGGUGGUUAGCAGAGGCGGUACCGAUGCCAAUAACUUCCAUGUCGCCAUUAUUUCUCUUCCCCUUGUUCGGAAUUUCGUCGGCUGACGACGUUGCACAUUCGUAUAUGGAUGAUGUUAUUGCACUUGUACUUGGAAGUUUCAUACUUGCUCUUGCUGUUGAACAUUAUAAUAUCCACAGAAGAUUGGCCUUAAAUAUAACGCUAUUAUUCUGUGGGGACCCACUGAAUCCACCGCUUCUCCUCUUGGGGAUCUGCGCCACUACAUUCUUCGUCAGCAUGUGGUUGCACAACGUGGCAACCACCGUGAUGAUGAUGCCGGUGGCCACCGGUAUCUUAUCCCGAUUGUCAUCCGGUGGCGGUAGCAGCGGCCACCGGAAUCAACCGAAUAAUUCGGACGAGCUAGUCACCAAAUUUUGCAAAGCGGUUGUUUUAGGGGUUGUAUACUCUGCAUCAAUUGGAGGAAUGAGUACUUUGACCGGGACAGGUGUCAACUUGAUAUUGGUUGGGAUGUGGAGGAGUUAUUUUCCUCAAGAAGCGCCUUUAAGUUUCAACACUUGGUCUUUCUUUGCUUUUCCUUUGGCUUUGGUGAUAUUUUUGGCAUUGUGGGGUACGCUUUGCUUAUUGUACUGUAGGAAGGGAUCAAGUAGAUCACUUUCUGCUUAUUUGGACAAAGCUCAUUUGAAGAGGGAGCUUGAAUUAUUAGGUCCCAUGGCUUUUGCUGAAAAGAUGAUUUUAACAGUUUUUUCGAUUCUGAUAGUGUUGUGGAUGACAAGAAGUAUUACUGAAGAUAUUCCUGGAUGGGGAUCCCUCUUUGGUGGACGUGCUGGUGAUGGAACUGUUAGUGUGAUGAUGGCAACCUUAUUGUUCAUAAUUCCAAACAAGAAGCAGCCAGGGGAGAAGCUAAUGGAUUGGAACAAAUGCAAGAAAUUGCCAUGGAACAUAAUUCUUUUAUUAGGGGCAGGUUUUGCCAUAGCUGAUGGAGUUAAGUCAAGUGGUCUAGCUGAUGUACUCUCAAGAGCCCUAGAUUUCUUGGAAAACGCUCCCUACUUAGCCAUCGCACCAGCUGUCUGUUUAAUAAGUGCGACCCUCACCGAGGUCAUCACGUCGAACAAUGCCACGACGACAAUUAUGAUCCCAUUGCUCGUCGAGAUCGCUAAAAAUAUGCGUAUUCAUCCUCUCCUACUCAUGAUCCCGGGAGCCAUUGGCGCACAGUUAGCUUUCUUGCUCCCCACGGCGACGCCCUCGAAUGUUGUAGGGUUUACUACAGGGCAUGUUGAUGUUAGAGACAUGAUCCAAGCUGGAUUUCCAUUGAAAGUUGCUGGAAUUGUUGCUCUCUCCUUAUUGAUGCCUACCCUUGGACCUAUUGUGUUUGGAACUGAUAAACCUGUGAAUAAUGUAUCGAGGAAUUAUUUGCAUUGGUGUGGCUAGUUUAUUUCGUUAAAGAUGGAAAUAUAGAGGGACACAUAAUGCAAGAGGAAGUUGUAUGCAUCAAGAUUGACAGUAUAAAAAUAUUUGCACAAUCAUCUUGAUGUCGAGCUAUCUACAUGAUUUAUCCUAAGAGGAAUGAAUCAUCGUGGAAUAGAAGAAGUAAUAGUUGUGACAUAUCAUAUUUUGUUUGCCUCUUAGCUAUUUUCUUUUUCAUAUGUUGAAGUAGUAUUGUAUAUAGGCUUUUUUGGUCCAAGAAAUAUAUAUGCAGUAGUAUAAUUCAUAUUUAAAAUUUGUAAUUCAAUUUAAUAAU